GUUUACGGCCACACCGCCUGGUCCACGCCCGAUCUCGGAAGCUAAGAUAGGUUGGGCCUGGUUAGUACUUGGAUGGGAGACCUCUUGGGAAUACCAAGGUGUUGUAAGCU
Scophthalmus maximus (turbot) is the source of this 110-nucleotide ribosomal RNA. The record is from Ensembl. NCBI's taxonomy places the organism in Eukaryota, Metazoa, Chordata, Actinopteri, Pleuronectiformes, Scophthalmidae.